Molecule: ribosomal RNA, 370 nt
Filed under: uncultured bacterium
Lineage: Bacteria
Also listed under: 1 other name
Description: bacterial SSU rRNA
Rfam family: Bacterial small subunit ribosomal RNA
Source: RNAcentral
GGAGGGUGCGAGCGUUAAUCGGAAUGACUGGGCGUAAAGGGCAUGUAGGCGGAUAAUUAAGUUAGGUGUGAAAGCCCUGGGCUCAACCUAGGAAUUGCACUUAAAACUGGUUAACUAGAGUAUUGUAGAGGAAGGUAGAAUUCCACGUGUAGCGGUGAAAUGCGUAGAGAUGUGGAGGAAUACCGGUGGCGAAGGCGGCCUUCUGGACAGAUACUGACGCUGAGAUGCGAAAGCGUGGGGAGCAAACAGGAUUAGAUACCCUGGUAGUCCACGCUGUAAACGAUGUCGAUUUGGAGUUUGUUGCCCUGAGUGAUGGGCUCCGAAGCUAACGCGAUAAAUCGACCGCCUGGGGAGUACGGCCGCAAGGUUA